AAUUAGAAAGGAAUGCUUGGUCUAGUAUGUUCAAAUUUAUUUUAAAUCAUUGUAUUGACCAAAGAAAACACGUACAUCUAUUGGCUACAUUUGGCCUCUGUAUGAAUGACUUAUUAUCUUUGCUCUUAGAAAACUAGCAACGAGGUCCCUUCGUUUACUCAUCUGUAAUUUGGAAACCUAGUGAGAAUCCAUACUGCACAGUCUAGCACAGUGUUGUAAACCACUUGCAUAGUCCUCAUCUACAGCAUGGGAUGGCAUCGCCUGCCUCAUGGGAUUCUCACAAAGCUAACCUGCUUGGGAAUCUACCUGGCCUGCAGUAAGAGCUAUGCAAGUGACUGCCUCAUGGUAACGUCUGGAUCCCAGUGACACGAGAGGGAGGUCAUGUCUAGAUUCAUAUGGUGGAAAACUGGACAGCUUUCACACUGGGUAAAUGAUGUGACUCUCCCCCAGUGGAGCUUUGACUUGUCUAGUAAACUGAAAAUGAGAACUUGGCAAAUGAGUCCUUGCCAAGUCCAGGUAGGUCAUUUCCUUGGGGGAAAUACCAUGAGAGCAGUAGUAUCUACCACUCACAGUAUUUUAGUCUUUGGACUGAGCACAUCUUAUUUCAUUUAGAAGUGGGUGGUGGAAAAUUCCUCCUACAAUAUGUAUGAUUCCUGGUUUCCACUUCCAGCUGGUGUGUGGCAGAGACGAGUAUGGUGGGCAGUGAUGAGGCGCUGAGGGUGGAGAGCUGUGUCUGGCUCGACCUGCUCCCUGCCUGAGGUACUCCUUGAGGAUGGGUGGAACGUGACCUGAGCGUAAUGCUUCCUAGUCAUUUUGAUGGCAGGAAGAAAGAAGGAGCCACAUCUCUUAGAGCUGAACUGGGACUCUCACUAACCAGUCCAUAAGACACAGGGAAGAAAACACUGAUGAUGGAGAAGGAUCAAUGGCUUGGUGGCCAGAGCUAAGUUUAAUGUAGAGAAUUCUGAAGGGCGCAAGUGACAGACAGUGACAAGCUGAGGUCCAGGAGCCUCGAUCAGCUGAAAGAUACCAGGCCAGGGAAGCAGACAGGACCUCUGAUCUGAACAGGCACUGGGCACUGGAGCUAGAAGAUGCAUAUUUAAGAACAAAUGAGACUUCGACUGUGCUGGCACUGCUGGGCAGCGACAUCUAGCCAGCUUGUCCACAACACAUUCCAUAUGGAUUAAAGAUUGUUGGCCUGACACUAACUUCCAGAUCAAAGGACACUCCUAAAAAUAGCCUGUCUUUAAAGCUGAUGCUCGGUGAAUAAACAGAGUAGGCAAGAGGUCCCGGCUGAUUUGAUAGCAUAUUGUCUCAGCACAGAAACCCAUUUCCUGCCAAGGUCCUCAAGGCCAAGAGGCGCAGAGCAUCCUAAGGGAAGGUGAAGGACUGAGCUGUGCCAGCACUCCUGGCUGAGAUAAGCCAGACAGUGCACAGUCUGGCCCCGUUCCUGGGCUCCAGCAGAUGUGGCUGCUCCAGCUGCUGGAGGGAAGAGGAAGAGGGCGGCUUGGGAACAAUGGUCUAGGAGACCAGCCAAGAGGAAGGGAUGGCACCCAGCCAUCAAUGCAAAACACACCGACCUCAUCUCCAAACCAUGUACCUCCACACACUCUCUUCUCAGACGUGGACAGAGCUACUUCUUCCCCAAGUCAGUUGUUCAAGAACUCGCUGUAGAUUUCUGGUACAAUUCCAAAGGCAAGGAAUUGAAAGAAAGGAUCAACGCUUCAAUGCCUAUGUUCUUUAGACCAACCAUUCUGCUCCACGCUCUGAAUUCAUCACUAAUUUAGUCUUUCGCGUGACCUCGUGAGGCAGAUAACAUUCCUCCCUCCUCCUCUACUGAUGAAGCAGCUAUGAGGCGGGGGCACAGCUUCAGGUCAAAGUGUGGCAGAGUCUGUGGGGUUCUAACACCCGGCUUUCUGCAUGUCUUCAUGUCAUGCAGGGCAGAGGGAGAGACCCCUGACAGAGGCUGAGCAGGGCAGCCAGCAUCUGGGCUGUCUCAGGCUUAGAAUCGAGAAAAUUCGGAAAACUCAGGAGAAUCCACAUGCUACCAACCUGUUC
Peromyscus maniculatus bairdii (prairie deer mouse) is the source of this 2055-nucleotide non-coding RNA. Lineage: Eukaryota; Metazoa; Chordata; Mammalia; Rodentia; Cricetidae. The record is from RefSeq and is a predicted model, not a curated record.